AUUUCUUAACGUAUACCAAAGGGUUGCUACUUCGGAUGUUAAUUUUUUUCUCUCUCUUUGUCCCUCAUUUCUCUUUUUUCUCUCUCCUCUUUUUUAACAAGACUGACUUGGCUCUCCGGCAUUGACUGGUUCUCAAGCAACUUCACUCCGGUAACUGAACUCAGCUAAAGAUCGGUUAGUUUAGCUGUUAAAGAUUAAAUAUUUAUCCCAAAUUUAUUAAAUUCAUUGCAUGUUUAACUGGUCUUUAAUUUUAUUUUGUUAUAACAACCCAUAAAAGUAGGUGAUCGCAUUUUCAACUCAAAAUCAUUUUGGAGAUUCUGUGUGAAGAUAUUUUGGGUUUCAUUCACCUGGGUGCAUUUCAAUCUUCACCUUUCAGCUGUGAGAAUUAAAUUCCCCCAAAUUCACUGUGAUUUCCCAAUUUAUAUUAUCUCUAAUUUGUUGCUUUGUUUUUCUGUUUUCUUCCAAUCCACUUGCUUUCUCCUCGUCAUUUUGGGUACUUGUUCUAUGUGAGAUUGCUAAUUCGUAAGCAGCAUUCCUUUGCUUUUUCAUGACUUUGGAAUAUGGAUAUGGUGGUUGUAGUACUCAGUAAAAACUUAGAUAAAAGCAAGAAACUGAAAAAUGCAGUCAUAUAUUCCUUUUGAGAUUGAGAUUCUAUAUGAAUAUAGUUCUCAUUCCUUUUUCUUAUCGAUGAUUGUUCCAUUUCUUAUGGGUUACUAUAAAAUAUUAUUGAACUUUAAACAGCAAUUGUUGGUUUUCCCAUUGGAAAUUGCAC
This 772-nucleotide long non-coding RNA is filed under the name Nicotiana tabacum (common tobacco). RNAcentral's name for it is "long non-coding RNA (NTAB_LNC012681)". The record is from RNAcentral. Lineage: Eukaryota; Viridiplantae; Streptophyta; Magnoliopsida; Solanales; Solanaceae.